UCCAAUAAGACCACCAAUUAUAUGCCUUUCAAACGAUGUCAUCUUCUGAAAGCGUUCCACAUGGCUAUAAUCUUAUUACCUCUGGUUGAAGUAGUCACAGACCAAACUAAAUGGAACUGGACCAAAGGAAGAGGACACAGAAGGUAAAAGGAAGCAAGAUCAGCAGGUUCUCCCACUCUAGCGCUCCUACCAAGAGGCUUUGAUAAGCAAUCACAAUUGUCCCCAGUGACAUGAAAGAAAAAGUGAAGCAUCCUGUAGGGAUGCAUAACAUGACAUCUACAUAGACUUGAGUUUCAUGGAAGGAAACUGUCACCACAUACAAGUUCAAGGGAAAUGUUCAGCCUCCACGCCACUGAAUGCAGCUCUGCCCAGGCCUUAGGAAAAGGUGAAACCCCAAGUGGCAGGGGACCAAGUUCACCAUAUCCAGGAAGCUGUCCUUGAACCAGAAAUACCCAUGUUGUUCUCCGACAUGAACAAGAAAUAGGUUUCUAUUAUAUUAAGCAACAGAAAUUUUCAGAUAUAUUAGUUCUCCCAGCAGGAAGGAUGCAUUGAUAAUGGCAACAUGAAUGGAGCUCAAAACAUCACAUUUAAUGAAAAAAGAGACUUACAUAAAAAAAAUUAUAGACUACAUUAUUACAUUCAAAUGAAGUUCAAGAACAAGCAAAAGUUGUGGAAAAAUAUCGGAAAACUUGCUUCUGCUGGAGGGGUAGGACGGGAUUUGACUGGCAAGAGGCCUAGGGGAACAUGCUGGAAUGAUAUUAAUGUUCUAUUUCUUGAUGGAGGUUUGGGUUCCACAGGUGUAUGUAUUUGCAAAAGUUAGCAAAUAUAGAGUUAAGGUUUGUGUUCUUCCUUGUACAAUACAUUUUACACCAAAGGAAAGGCUGUAAACAAAUAUUGAACUGUAGUUAAUAUGU
RNAcentral lists this long non-coding RNA (914 nucleotides) under Pongo abelii (Sumatran orangutan). RNAcentral describes it as "lincRNA". The record is from RNAcentral. Lineage: Eukaryota; Metazoa; Chordata; Mammalia; Primates; Hominidae.